Molecule: long non-coding RNA, 1498 nt
Filed under: Triticum aestivum (bread wheat)
Lineage: Eukaryota; Viridiplantae; Streptophyta; Magnoliopsida; Poales; Poaceae
Description: long non-coding RNA (TAES_LNC004625)
Source: RNAcentral
UGGAUUUGAAAGGACAAAUAUACUUGAUUGGCGUCUUUAGGUAUUGUAUAAGUUGACAUGAGUUUGAUUUCUUGCUAUUUUGAUCAAUUUGUUUGCAGGAAUUUGUUCCACAUCUCCUUGUACCAAGAGCAGAUCUGCGCCCCACCUCUCCAGUGUUGGCUCAUUGGCCACCGCGGAUCCUAGCUGUCCUUGGGACGCCAUCAACAGGUUUGAUUAGUUUCUGUAUGUAGAUAGGGUGCUUGAUAAUUUUUCUAAUUGAAAAUUGUGCUCUUUUUCGAUUCAAUACCACAACAUAGCAUCUCUAUAAAUUAAGAUUUGGCUGCUACUGGUAUGUGUAUUAUGAACUUUUGCUAAUUUUUGUUGUGUACUGUCCAGGUGUUGUAUAAUGCUGUUACUUGCUGGUGAUGUUGUUUCUGUGCUGCCUAUGGAGUGACAAUAACGACAUUCAAUUAUGAUGCGUUUGACCGUAACACAAAGAUUAAGGAAAUUAAUUACCAUUUGUCGAUUGACGACUUGAAAAGAAGCAUGGAGGCAACAAAUGGGGUAUUAUUUUGAUCUCAUCUCACACAUUCAAUUACUCUUUGUCCUACUAUAUGGCUUUUUAUUAGUUAUUUACACAUACUCGAUGCAUUGCAAAAUGUCUGUUUCUGGAAAUCGCCAUAUCCCGUAUCCCCGCAACCGUAUUGUCGUAUUUGUCGCUCUAUCAGUGCUUCAUUGGUCUAGGUAAAAAUGUGUAGAUUUCCUUUAUUUUGCGCAUAUUCUCUUCAAUCAGUGUUGUUACUUUUUGUGCUUGGUGUUUUAUUCCAGCCAGAUGCAAGCGGCAAAAGGCGACUGGGAUUAACCAUCGAUGCUGGUUUUCAUAUCCAAAUACCGGUCUUUGUUGGUAUGUACAUGAGAUGGGGGAAAUCAUGCCUUAAGAGAGCCAGAUGCGGAAGGUACUGUUUAAGAAAUCCGGAUGCUUGCUUGUAAUAUGUUUACAUUGUUUACUCAUGUACAUAUUCCUUUUGUAGAUGUUCCUUUAGGAUUUCUAAAAUUGUUUGUUUACUCAUGUACAUUGUUUGCAUCUGUGAAUAUAUUUUUAUAUUUAGGGAUUUUCCAUUGCCUCUAGAAAGUUGUUUGUUUCAUCCAACGCUUAUGUGUGGUUUUGCAACUACUAAUUUCUGUUAUCUCUAUGUUUGUUGGUGUAUGGCUGCUGCUUUUGCCUUCAUGGGAAAUGAUUAGGCAGGCUGACUACAUAGUAAUUGUUAGUACUCUUUGAUGAUAGAGAAGUAAAGAACUUGUUGUUACUGCAAACUCAGGCUAUGCUAUUGAAAAUGACAUCAGGGGACAGGUAUAUUGAACAUGUGUUGAUCCACUAAUGAUUAGUUUGUUCUUCAGUAACUUCUUCUUCAGUAUCAUAGUUAGUAAACAUAUGAGGUUUGGCAAGUUAGUAUUUACCAUUGAUGCUUGAAAUAAAUAGCAUGACUGGUGUUGCACCAUGUGUGUGUAGGUUUUUCCU